GAUGAACGCUAGCUACAGGCUUAACACAUGCAAGUCGAGGGGCAGCGCAGUGUAGCAAUACAUGGGCGGCGACCGGCGCACGGGUGCGUAACGCGUAUCCAACCUUCCCGUUACUCAGGGAUAGCCUUCCGAAAGGGAGAUUAAUACCUGAUGGUAUUCAAAUUUCGCAUGUUAUUUGAAUUAAAGAUUUAUCGGUAACGGAUGGGGAUGCGUGACAUUAGGUAGAUGGCGGGGUAAUGGCCCACCAUGCCUACGAUGUCUAGGGGUUCUGAGAGGAAGGUCCCCCACACUGGAACUGAGACACGGUCCAGACUCCUACGGGAGGCAGCAGUGAGGAAUAUUGGUCAAUGGUCGGAAGACUGAACCAGCCAAGUAGCGUGAAGGAUGACUGCCCUACGGGUUGUAAACUUCUUUUGUUUGGGGAAAUAAAAGACGCUACGUGUAGCGUUCUGCAUGUACCUUACGAAUAAGCAUCGGCUAAUUCCGUG
This 488-nucleotide ribosomal RNA is filed under the name uncultured bacterium. Its description in RNAcentral is "bacterial SSU rRNA". It matches the Rfam family "Bacterial small subunit ribosomal RNA", at positions 28 to 507 of the family's 1533-position model. The record is from RNAcentral.